AACCACUCACGCCUAGCGUGGUAUUGGGGCACGCGGUCUCCGCGGCCCUCAAAAUUAGUGGCGGCGCCGGUGGGCUCUAAGCGUAGUACAUACUCCCGCUAUAGAGUCCCGGCGGUGGCUUGCCAAAACCCCUCUAUUUUCUUAC
RNAcentral lists this unclassified non-coding RNA (145 nucleotides) under uncultured Phialocephala. RNAcentral's name for it is "sequence contains ITS2". The record is from RNAcentral. Lineage: Eukaryota; Fungi; Ascomycota; Leotiomycetes; Helotiales.